This 1147-nucleotide ribosomal RNA is filed under the name uncultured marine bacterium ENATL4. RNAcentral describes it as "bacterial SSU rRNA". It matches the Rfam family "Bacterial small subunit ribosomal RNA", at positions 122 to 1303 of the family's 1533-position model. The record is from RNAcentral. Lineage: Bacteria; Bacillati; Cyanobacteriota; Cyanophyceae; Synechococcales; Prochlorococcaceae.
GAAUCUGCCCUCAGGAGGGGGAUAACGGUUGGAAACGACCGCUAAUACCCCAUAUGCCGAGAGGUGAAAUGAAUUUCGCCUGAGGAUGAGCCCGCGUCUGAUUAGCUUGUUGGUGAGGUAAUGGCUCACCAAGGCUUCGAUCAGUAGCUGGUCUGAGAGGAUGAUCAGCCACACUGGGACUGAGACACGGCCCAGACUCCUACGGGAGGCAGCAGUGGGGAAUUUUCCGCAAUGGGCGAAAGCCUGACGGAGCAACGCCGCGUGAGGGACGAAGGCCUCUGGGCUGUAAACCUCUUUUCUCAAGGAAGAAGAUAUGACGGUACUUGAGGAAUAAGCCACGGCUAAUUCCGUGCCAGCAGCCGCGGUAAUACGGGAGUGGCAAGCGUUAUCCGGAAUUAUUGGGCGUAAAGCGUCCGCAGGCGGCCUUUCAAGUCUGCUGUUAAAACGUGGAGCUUAACUCCAUCAUGGCAGUGGAAACUGAUUGGCUUGAGUAUGGUAGGGGCAGAGGGAAUUGCCGGUGUAGCGGUGAAAUGCGUAGAUAUCGGGAAGAACACCAGUGGCGAAGGCGCUCUGCUGGGCCAUUACUGACGCUCAUGGACGAAAGCCAGGGGAGCGAAAGGGAUUAGAUACCCCUGUAGUCCUGGCCGUAAACGAUGAACACUAGGUGUCGGGGGAAUCGACCCCUUCGGUGUCGUAGCUAACGCGUUAAGUGUUCCGCCUGGGGAGUACGCACGCAAGUGUGAAACUCAAAGGAAUUGACGGGGGCCCGCACAAGCGGUGGAGUAUGUGGUUUAAUUCGAUGCAACGCGAAGAACCUUACCAGGGCUUGACAUCCUGCGAACCUUUAAGAAAUUAGAGGGUGCCUUCGGGAACGCAGUGACAGGUGGUGCAUGGCUGUCGUCAGCUCGUGUCGUGAGACGUUGGGUUAAGUCCCGCAACGAGCGCAACCCACGUUUUUAGUUGCCAGCAUUUAGUUGGGCACUCUAGAAAGACCGCCGGUGAUAAACCGGAGGAAGGUGUGGAUGACGUCAAGUCAUCAUGCCCCUUACGUCCUGGGCUACACACGUACUACAAUGCUACGGACAAAGGGCAGCAAACUCGCGAGAGCUAGCAAAUCCCAUAAACCGUGGCUCAGUUCAGAUCGUAG